Molecule: long non-coding RNA, 523 nt
Filed under: Ursus maritimus (polar bear)
Lineage: Eukaryota; Metazoa; Chordata; Mammalia; Carnivora; Ursidae
Description: lncRNA (ENSUMAG00000000167.1)
Source: RNAcentral
CGCGAGGAGAGCCCCUUACUGUCCGGGUGAGUUAUUUUGAUAUUUAGGGUAAGGAAAAAAAAAAUUCCUUUCAGGUUCUCCGACGGGGGAGCUUUUUAACCUCUUUCCGGCGAGGUGGGAGCUCAUCUUCAUGGUCGAAUUUAAAAGAACAAUGGAAGCCUGACUACGUUUAAACAAAAAUAAAACUUGUUUUUUUUUUCUUUUGGGUGUUGGCUUUUAACUCUUUCAAAGCCGAUUUUGAAAACGGCUGCAGUGUUACAGAUGAGAAGGUAACUUACAAGAUUAAAAUUAAAUUUGGUUGAUGAUGGUUCUGAACAAAUACAGCUCUUUAAUUUGAGGUAUGCCAUUUUGAAGACUGAGACCCAUGGAGUUUUAUCCUUGAAUAUAAAGGAAAUAGUUGCAAAAGCCUCUAUUUUAUAUAGCAAGUAAGUAAAUGUUUUAGCCAACAUCUUAAAUUUAAUAGCUACCAAUAUUUGAGUAGGAAAAUGUCACUAAAGUUUGUCAGUGAAACAUAAAAUGUAGA